AUAAUUUUUUUUUUUAAUUUUUAAAGAGCACCAUUGACAUCAAUUUGAAUGCAGAUUACAUGGACACUCAACAUGCUACUUAAACAGAGACAACAUGAUAUCAAGAAUCAAAGCAAUAAUUUAUAUCCUUUUUAUAUUUCCCAAUGAUAAAGGUUUUCCCAUUAAUCAAAAAAGCAAUGUGCCGCCAUAAUCAAAAAAAUCAUCCUCAUUCAUAUAAAUAAUCUCUCUUUGAUUCAUUCUUUUACAUUCUGCAUUAUCAAUGACAUAAAAGAUCAAACUUCAGCAAUAACUUAAACCACAACAAAUAAUCCACAGCACAGCCAAAGCACAAAAAAUAUAUAUAUCUAAGACAUAACAAAAGCAAUGUUAAUAGCUACUUACAUUAAGAAGAGAUCAGGUUUAAAUUCUAAUAACUCCCUUCUUUUAAAAAAGUUUUCAAAUACUAAAAGAAUUUCUUUUAAUUCAUGAAAUUAAAUAUAAAAAAUAAGUGUAAAUUAUGAUAACUCUCUUUUGAGGCUAAGUGAAGCAGACCCUACAAAGUCAUAACAAAGCAAAAAUAAAUAAAUAAAAAAUGAAAGAGCCUAAAAUAAAA
RNAcentral lists this unclassified non-coding RNA (592 nucleotides) under Hevea brasiliensis (rubber tree). Lineage: Eukaryota; Viridiplantae; Streptophyta; Magnoliopsida; Malpighiales; Euphorbiaceae. The record is from RNAcentral.